Molecule: non-coding RNA, 23 nt
Filed under: Arabidopsis thaliana (thale cress)
Lineage: Eukaryota; Viridiplantae; Streptophyta; Magnoliopsida; Brassicales; Brassicaceae
Source: RNAcentral
AGCGAUUUGAGUAACGAGAAUGA